This 161-nucleotide small nuclear RNA is filed under the name Manihot esculenta (cassava). Its description in RNAcentral is "U1 spliceosomal RNA". It matches the Rfam family "U1 spliceosomal RNA". Rfam says of the family: U1 is a small nuclear RNA (snRNA) component of the spliceosome (involved in pre-mRNA splicing). Its 5' end forms complementary base pairs with the 5' splice junction, thus defining the 5' donor site of an intron. Lineage: Eukaryota; Viridiplantae; Streptophyta; Magnoliopsida; Malpighiales; Euphorbiaceae. The record is from Rfam by way of RNAcentral.
AUACUUACCUGGACGGGGUCAAUGAGUGAUCAAUAAGACUCAUGGCCUAGGUAGAUGGCUUUCAUUGCACUAGGAAGGUGUAUCUGCCUAAGGUCUCCUCAAGUGGGAGAGCCUACGUCAUAAUUUAUGGUAGUAGGGGCCUGCGUUCGCGCGGCCCCUGU